RNAcentral lists this long non-coding RNA (1053 nucleotides) under Canis lupus dingo (dingo). RNAcentral describes it as "lncRNA (ENSCAFG00020004508.1)". The stretch from base 604 to 697 matches the Rfam family "mir-8799 microRNA precursor family". Lineage: Eukaryota; Metazoa; Chordata; Mammalia; Carnivora; Canidae. The record is from RNAcentral.
AUGGGAGAGAGGACUGUUUCUGAUUCUUUUUGUGGUGAGUUUUUCCUUCUAGUCAUUUUGCUCAGUGCAAAGUGGCCAAAAACAAGUUGUACUGGAAAAAGGAGAAAAAAGAGAGAAAAAAUAAAGAAAAAAAGGGGAGGGGGAAACAAACAGAAAACAAAAAACAAGGAGGAGUAUAAUUUGAUUCUAUACUGUAAAUCCCUCGACUUCCAUGGAAUUUCCAGCGCUGCUUGGUCAAGAACUUACUUUUCCCCUGUCCUUCCAGCUGGUCUUCUGGGGGAGAGUCCUGCUGUUCUGAUUCUCAGGUGUUUGCACCUAGGGGAGCUGCCUAGCACCCUGCCAGGUGCAUGGCUCAGUGGGAGCUGUUUAUCCUGUGAGGCUCCUGCUCAGUCCCAGGAACAAGGUGACACCAGGAGGAACAAUAACAGUGGUGGUAGCCAGCUCUCCAGCUCUGGAGUCACUUCCUGCAGUAACUUCUGCAGUCUCCCAGUCCACAGGUGUUGGAUGCUUCGGGGGCGGGGGGCACUGAUCUGCACAGCUCGGGGCCACAUGGCAGCAGGAACGUCCUUGCUGCCCUGUGUCCUCACGGCCUCCGCCUGUCCCAGGGGGACGCAGGAUCCUGGGCUGUGUCCCCUAGUGCCCUUGGCUCCCGGGCCUUCACAGCUGGAAUCACACUUCCAGGACUUCGCAGCCCCCUCCUUGCAGAGCCGCCACCUGAGCUGCUCCUGGGCCACAGAGCGCUGGCUCCAGCCCUUUAGGGAGCUGGGCCCAAGGUGUGUGGUGUGCUCUCCCCCCAGACGCACCUCCUCUGUUAGUGCUUCUGGGAGCCUGAUGGCAUCCCUGCCUCUCCUGGGAUCUUGCCCCAGCUCCCUGCAAGCGCCUUUCCAUCUGGGAAGAUUGGUAAAGCUCCUGCUUCUCCGGGACUGGGUUUUCCUGUCCUGGGAGCACUUGCCACCAGGCCUUAGCCCAGCUCUUCAUGGGGGCCCCCUCCCCCUUGGAUGCUUUUUUAUUUCUUUAUUUUCUUUCCAUCUUCAUACCUUGAUAGAAGCAUAA